AUGCCAUUUUUGCUCAGCAAUGUCUUGCUGAAACCUGUAGGAGGAGCUUUAUUCGGGAAGGGCUGGUUUCACAUUCCAUACUGGUUCGUCUGGUUAUAUAUAAUCUUACAUUUGCAUGCAAUUCCUAGCCAUGCAUAUAUGGCAUUGUCAGAGUUGGAACAAGAUGAGACCGGCAAAGUACAAAGGUGGGAUUGGUUUUUCCGUCACGAGGGCCUUCAACCAAGCUUUGCUAGUUUCUUGAAAACUUGCUUCAGAUAUGAAACUUUGGGAGGGCUCUAUGAGGAAACUUCCCAAAGAAAGCUUUCUAGUUGUCUCAGGGUGGGGCCUUGGCUCAAUCUUGUCGAUUCUACUAGACAUGAUCUCUUACAAGAAGAAAAUAAUCUUCAAAUUUGA
RNAcentral lists this ribosomal RNA (393 nucleotides) under Triticum aestivum (bread wheat). RNAcentral describes it as "partial small subunit ribosomal RNA". The record is from RNAcentral. Lineage: Eukaryota; Viridiplantae; Streptophyta; Magnoliopsida; Poales; Poaceae.